RNAcentral lists this ribosomal RNA (253 nucleotides) under uncultured diatom. RNAcentral's name for it is "partial 16S ribosomal RNA". It matches the Rfam family "Bacterial small subunit ribosomal RNA", at positions 524 to 776 of the family's 1533-position model. Lineage: Eukaryota; Bacillariophyta. The record is from RNAcentral.
GACGGAGGAUGCAAGUGUUAUCCGGAAUCACUGGGCGUAAAGCGUCUGUAGGUGGUUUAGUAAGUCAACUGUUAAAUCUUGAAGCUCAACUUCAAAAUCGCAGUCGAAACUACUAGACUAGAGUAUAGUAGGGGUAAAGGGAAUUUCCAGUGGAGCGGUGAAAUGCGUAGAUAUUGGAAAGAACACCGAUGGCGAAGGCACUUUACUGGGCUAUUACUGACACUCAGAGACGAAAGCUAGGGUAGCAAAUGGG